This 194-nucleotide antisense RNA is filed under the name Beauveria bassiana D1-5. RNAcentral's name for it is "Yersinia sRNA 251". It matches the Rfam family "Yersinia sRNA 251". Rfam says of the family: Antisense to phoH gene. The record is from Rfam by way of RNAcentral. Lineage: Eukaryota; Fungi; Ascomycota; Sordariomycetes; Hypocreales; Cordycipitaceae.
CGUAGGCGUUCAGCGUGCGCUGACACAGUGCCGAACGCACACAAUCCUGCUUGCCAAAGCGAACAACACCAACCAUGUCAUCCUCUUCAAAACGGUUAAGCGCGUCGCUUAAACCGGACGGUACGCCCGCAGGUAAAUCACACUGAGUGAUAUCGCCGUUGACGAUGACCGUCACGUUUUCCCCGAGGCGGGUG